Molecule: long non-coding RNA, 1230 nt
Organism: Canis lupus familiaris (dog)
Lineage: Eukaryota; Metazoa; Chordata; Mammalia; Carnivora; Canidae
Exons: 4
Source: RefSeq, a predicted model, not a curated record
UGGCUUGGUCAAAAGAGCAUCCAACUCUUGAUCUUGGAGUUAUGAGUUCAAGUUCCAUGUUGGGUGUAGAGAUUACUUAAAAAUAAAAUCUUAAAAAAAAAAAGUAUUCCUCAAGUUUAAGUCAUGUUUUACAUUUCUCUGAGAGGCUUGACAGACUCAGAUUUCCACUGACCUGAGAUUUGUUGAGUCCUAUAAAGAUGCCUUUACACAGAAUUUAAUAAUACUUAAGGCAGAUUUCAAGAUACAGGAGCAAAGUCAUGUUUGUAAAAGCCUUCCUCAUAUGACUUGGUUGAGACAAAUUCUAUUAAACUAAGAAUAAUCAUGAGAUUGUAUUAUGUAUUUUCCUAGAUUUGUAAAUGUUUUCCUAACUUCAUAUGCCUAAUUCACAACAAUUUCCUUUUGCUGCCCAUUUUGCCUCACCUUUUAUUGAUUUCUCAUAUCUAAAUAGCUCAUAUGUAUAGCCUAAGGUGUUGUCAUGAUAGUGGAAAUAAAAGGCAAGUAGUAUAUGACAUCAUCCCACCAUCUCCAUUCUCUGUUAGGAGAGGUCUAAUCUUGUGAUUUUGGCAAUACUCUUAUGGCUUAACAAACCAAUGAAUCAUCUAAUUAAACAGCUAUCUCAUUAAUAAUUCAUCUUUAUACUUUCAUUAGCUAGAUUUUACAACCUGGUCUCUGAGGCCUUGAUAAUUAAAUAUUUCACCAUCCAUAUACCUUUAAGUUCAUUGCUUAAAACUUGCCCCAUGUUUUUGCUUUUAGCCUUUGUCCUACUCUUUGGUAUGUCACUAAACAGGCUGAGCAUUCAGUAAACUAUGCUAUUCAGAUUCUUGCAUAACAUUCUAGUUUAGAACACAGUAGUCUUUGUUUUAGAGAGCCAAGCCAAAGAAUGUUCUCAUGUACGUGGUGGCAAAUAAUCUCAGACGUUAUCUAGGACUUGAAGAUCCUCCAGCUGGAACACCAGUAUGCCCAGAAUUAAUAAGAAAAUAUUUUAUGUAAGACAUGGUUAUGAGCAUCAGGAAGACAUAACCCAAAAGAUACUGGUAAGAAAUGAUUUGUAUUUAUUUAUUUGACAGAGCACAAGCCGGGGGGAGCUGCAGGGAGAGAGAGAAGCAAACUCCCCGCUGAACAGAAAGCCCAACUCAGGGCUUGAUCCCAUCACAACCCUAGCCAAAGGAGGACACGUAACCAACUGAGUCACCCAGGCACCCCUGCAUUUCCUAUUUUUAGUCUGUGUGC